Molecule: transfer RNA, 88 nt
Filed under: Desulfurivibrio alkaliphilus AHT 2
Lineage: Bacteria; Pseudomonadati; Thermodesulfobacteriota; Desulfobulbia; Desulfobulbales; Desulfobulbaceae
Also listed under: 2 other names
Description: tRNA-Ser (GGA) (tRNA-Ser-GGA-1-1)
Rfam family: tRNA
About the family: Transfer RNA (tRNA) molecules are approximately 80 nucleotides in length. Their secondary structure includes four short double-helical elements and three loops (D, anti-codon, and T loops). Further hydrogen bonds mediate the characteristic L-shaped molecular structure. tRNAs have two regions of fundamental functional importance: the anti-codon, which is responsible for specific mRNA codon recognition, and the 3' end, to which the tRNAs corresponding amino acid is attached (by aminoacyl-tRNA synthetases). tRNAs cope with the degeneracy of the genetic code in two manners: having more than one tRNA (with a specific anti-codon) for a particular amino acid; and 'wobble' base-pairing, i.e. permitting non-standard base-pairing at the 3rd anti-codon position.
Source: RNAcentral
GGAGAGGUGACCGAGCGGUUGAAGGUGCACGCCUGGAACGCGUGUGUACGGCAACGUACCGUGGGUUCGAAUCCCACCCUCUCCGCCA